GUUUUUCCUUCUUUCGCCGCGGUUCAGCACUUACCCAGUUUAGUAUUGAAAGAUUCAGUUUCUUGUUUGCCAUCGGAAUGGCGAAGGAGGAAUUUAGGGUCUACAAUUCGAUGACACAGCAGAAGGAAGUCUUCACGCCGAAGGAGCCUGGUAAGGUUGGCAUGUACGUUUGUGGCAUCACGGCCUAUGAUUUCAGCCAUAUUGGUCAUGCCCGUG
RNAcentral lists this unclassified non-coding RNA (216 nucleotides) under Hevea brasiliensis (rubber tree). The record is from RNAcentral. Lineage: Eukaryota; Viridiplantae; Streptophyta; Magnoliopsida; Malpighiales; Euphorbiaceae.